UUCUUUAAUCUCACGGCUAACCCAGGGGUUUCGCCACAUUAACUUCUUCACAUUAAGUCCAUCAUCGUAGGAACUCACCAGCUAGGACCGUCCUUACGGGUCUACUCCAACCCGGAUGCCAAACUCCGAAGCGCAUCGCCCGAGGGGAGCGACCGCCCUCGAGCACGGAACUCAUAGCAAGUAUGAUCAUAUCCUUAACUCAAAGGAUUUGUAGUUGAAUCAUGGCUUUACACUAACUCUAGUGUUCUUUACAUCACAUUAGUUGCUAACUCUAGCAAUCACUAUUCUUUAUACCACAAUUAUCAAUUACUUUAGUAAUUGUCAUUCUUGAUAUCACACUUGUUCUUUUAUUGCCACACACUAACUCUAGUGUUCUUUAUGUCACAUUGGUUGCUAACUCUAGCCAUUAUCAUUGUUCUUUACACUUUGCUUGUUCUUUAUGCCACAUUACUUUACAUCGCCUCUAGCCAUUAUCAUUAUUCUUUACAUUACAUUGCUUUGCCUUGUCUCAAGCCAUUAUCAUUAGGUUCUCACAUUACACCUCAUGCAUACACAUAGAUUAUUUAGAUUCUUAAUCAUUCUAAUAAGCACGUGUACUCACAUCAUGCAACAUUACAUUAUUAUCAUCACAUUGUUUUACAUUAUCUUUAGCCAUUAUCAUUAUUCUUUACAUCACAUUUAUUCUUUGAUGUCCCACACUAACUCUAGUGUCCACUUUACCAUUUCCAAAUGCCACUCGAUCUAUGUUUAACAUGCAUAUAUUUUGUCAUCCAUUGGUAGUCAUUACUUAGCAUUUUAUGCAUUCGUUAACAUUUACCACAUGCAUUCUCGGUUAGAAUAAAUCUCAUACUUUCAUUUGACAUCUAUUUAGCAUUUCUAUAAUAUGCACAUGUAAAUUAACAUCAACUCAUGCAUUCAUUUGACAUCUAUUUUUAUCAUGCAUUCUUAAAUAGCAUACUUUAUCAUGCAUCAAUAGUAAACAUACUACACUUUGACAUGGAAAGCGACCUAAUCGCUUCGGUGAGCACGACCCACCUCAAAACGCUUUCCGAUUGCUUGUCGACACUUGCAAUCGGCCUCCCGCGGCACCCGUAACCCGGUUUGGCCCGAUCUUUUGCGCGACCACCCGAACGGCCUCCGAUCCACGAUCCAAAAAUUAAAGGUCUUCGGUUAUGUGCCACGAUGCUUCAAAUCCGUUUUCAUGAUUUUACGAUGUCGCCUCGGCCCUCCAGGCGGAAACGAAGCCUAAACGUCCAUUUCUUUAAUAACUUCGCAACGGCUCGACGAAUCGCCGAACCGUCUUCGCCAACGCGUUCGUUUACCUAGCAAUUAGGUUUACGAAGGGUCAAAUUAGAUCAAACCCUUAUAUUUUACAAAAUCCCAUUCGGAGCCCUAAUAUGCAAUUAACCUCAAAAUAAUCCAAAAUUAAAUGGAUCAACAUGCUACAAAGCUCAUUAGAGGCUAUUAGAACACUUAAAGCUAAGGAUUAAGCCAAAUCCCAAAAGCUUACCUCAAUGUGAACGCCGCGACGAAAAUACGCCGCUCCAACGGGCGCACGAAAGCUCAAUCCGUCGCCUCCAACGCGUUCGCAAGCAUCUUCUCCACCAACGCCGCGAAUUUGAGCGAUAAAUAUAGAGAGAUGAGAGAGCAAUCUAGAGAGAGAAAGAAGGGUUUCUCUCUCCCUUCUCCAUGCCCGCUUGGGUGGCCAUGGUGGUCGGCUGAAGGAGAAAGAAGCAAAAUGCUUCUUUAUACAUUACACCCCAAAACACUAUUCACUUUCGGGCAGUUCGAAAUCUGAUAUCUUUCGUCGGAGCUCUCGGAAUGUCCGUUUGAGCUCAAACUUGACAGUCAUGCUUGGUUUUAUUUAACUUAACAAGCUGACGAUCGCUGGUUCAAUUUCGACCCCGUUCGGUUACCGAAAACUGUACCGAACUGUAAUCUUUAACAGACAACUGUGGGAUUUUAUUUCCCACCUUUCGGGUGUCAGAAUAAUAUGAAACUUUAAAUCUAGCCUCAUAAAAAUAUUUCUGACUUAUCCUCCAAUUUUCAUAAUUUUCUGAGACUGUGCAUUUUCUGCUAAUUUAUCUGUCCCGUUUCCAACAGAAAAUUCUAGAUCUUCUGUUUUAAUUCCGAUUUCAGCACAGGUCACUUCUGACUUAUAUUUUACCUCUAUAAAUCUAAUAAAAAUAGUUUCUCACACUAUUUUUAUUUAUUAUUAUUUUUAUACCAAAAUCUGGUAUAUUACAAAGAGUGUCA
Molecule: long non-coding RNA, 2256 nt
Filed under: Ananas comosus (pineapple)
Lineage: Eukaryota; Viridiplantae; Streptophyta; Magnoliopsida; Poales; Bromeliaceae
Description: long non-coding RNA (ACOM_LNC036537)
Source: RNAcentral